Molecule: long non-coding RNA, 3055 nt
Filed under: Citrus maxima (pomelo)
Lineage: Eukaryota; Viridiplantae; Streptophyta; Magnoliopsida; Sapindales; Rutaceae
Description: long non-coding RNA (CMAX_LNC002738)
Source: RNAcentral
CAGUAUCCAUUUGGCGAAUUGAGAAGUCACUGCGAGAGAGAAAGAUAGAGGUAUUUUUCUUUAAGUUUUCAAUCUUUGAUUAAACGAUCGGAAGGUGAUUUUAACUCCGAUUUCUCCCAAUUUUGUAGGGUAAGUUCCUGACAUCUCCCUCUACAUUUCUGUUGGUGUUGAUCUGUAUUUUAUGCUAUCAAUAUAUGUUAUUUGAGAUAUUCAUUUAUUAAAGAAAUAGAUAUUAGAUCUAUUAUUAUAAGCCAAGAUUGUUGAGAAUCUUGAUGUUGUUAGCCUCUAGUGUUAUAAGAAAAAUUUGUGCUAUAAUCCCAAUUUAUAUCGGACUAUGGUCUCGUGGUUUUUCUCGAUUUGGGUUUUCCACAUAAAAAUUGGUGUUUCUUGUGGUUGAUUUAUUGCUUUAGAUUUGUUGGUUUAUUUUUCUACCUAUUUGUUUGUAGUGCAUAUCUUAUUUUAAUCACAUAAAGAGAGAAAAAGUUUUUUUUCUACUUAAUUGGCAGUUGCUUUUGUGAGUCUCUUUCCCAGCUCCUUCGAUAGUUAUGAGUUUGGAUGGAAUCCCUACAUUUUCAAUGUGAUGUUCUAAGCCUAGGCUUCUAAUGAGUGGCUGAACUUGGGAUUUCCGGAGAAUGUAAUUAUGAGAAGAAAGCUUAAUAGAGAUGAGGCUAGCACAAUGAUAAAAGGUCUCAAAGGUUAAUUUCGGCUCAAUUUGGUCUUUUUUCAGCCGUAACUUUAAUACCAUUUAGAAACCAAAGUUUUUAUAUUUGAAAAGUAUUAUAUUCACUUAUAUUUUUACAAGAGGCUACAAGACUUUAUGUAUUGCAAUUUCUAUACAGAUAAAAGGAAGUUCUGUUAAUACAGCGUGAUUUGAAGCAUGAUUUACGGGCCAUUGCUUGAUUUUGGCAAAUCUUGAUCGGGUUUAAUGCUUGCAUUCCUAUCAAAAGUAUACCAAGAAUUGCAUUUUAAAAAAUUGUGAGCCACUUCGGCCUUGGUCGGAGUGGUGGGCUGCUGCCCUCACAAGCAUUGUGAGGGCAGCGGUUCAAGCCCCCACAAAAGCAUUUGUGGGGGCUAACGUGCUUAUUUGUUUAAUAUUUCAAAAAUUUCCUCUCUCUCGUGCAAUACGAGUGGAGUAUGGACAUCCCUCUUCUGUAAGGGAUUAUUUGUCUGGGCAUGUACUUCACAGAAUUCAAUGUAAUAAUAUAAGUCCCAAUCAUGUAUUUCUGAUUAUAAAUAUCAGUGUAAUAUAUCUGCUAUAAUAGCAGUUGUAAAUAUCUGUGUAAUGCAGUAAUAUGAUGAUUAAUCAGUAUUCAAAAAAAAAAAAAAUUGUGAAGCCCAACAAUGAAUUUUGGGUAUAAUUUUACACACUUCUAUCUCAACAAUGUUGAUAACAAUAGCUAUUUUAAAAGCCCAAUAAUGAUAAGUGUCUCUUGUUCCAACAUUUUUCAAAGCUUGCCCAUAUAAUUAUUAUGAUUGAGAUAUUUACACUUUAAUAAUUAUUUUGUACACGAAUAUUUUUAUAAAAAAAAUUACGAAAAUACCCAUAAUUUAAAUUACUAUUAAAGACAAUUUAUUAUGAUUAACUAUAACAUUAUUAAAAUUAAUCAAUUUAGUACACUCAAUUAACAUUCAAUUCUCUUAACUUUAAACCCUAUAUAUUUUCUUCCCAACAACUUAAACAAAUAUUUAGAAAAUAUCAAUAAUUGAAGGAAAAAAAUUGGGAGAGGUUAGAGACAAAGUUCACGUACCAUCAUGGAGAUGGCUACGUUUGUUACUUCAUAUUCUUUAAAAAAAUUUUGAGAACAAGUUACAGCAAAAGCAAUCAAAUUAAUUUAUUUUAUUCAACGGUCUAAACUCAAUGUGUCUAAAAUUCAUAUGUCUAAAAUAUUUUUACUUUAUAAUUUACUCGUAUUUUCUAUGCUGCAAUGUAGAAAGUACAAUUAUUUAUAAUUUUCGAUACUACUUUCAUGCCUCCUUUUUAUUUUUUAUUUUUUUUUUUGUCUAAUUGUCUUAUUUGACAGGUUUGCUCUCUUGGCUCUCCUGUUUAAGCUUUGCCAAGAUUUGUAUACAAGAAAAAGAAAAAGAAAAAAACUACAAGGAUUGAACUUGAUGUAUCUCCAAGCCAUUAAUUGAUCAAUUCCUUUAAACUUUAUUGGGUGUUUUCAUCUGCUGGUAUUGAUAAUUAAUAAUAACUUUUUGGGUGAAACUAAUCGAACCUGAACUUGAAGCUCAGGCCAAAACCAGCAACUGGAUAUAUGGUGACUAACAUUUGGUUGAUUUGAAAUCAUUGGAGCCAACCAUUUUUAUUAUAUUGAUUAAUUCAGCAGUAGUUGAGGUAAGUAUAUUGAUCUUUUUUUUUUUUGGUAGUAAUAUAAUAAUUGAUUAUCUAAUAAAUAAUAAAUAAAUAAUUUUUUUUGAGAGUAUAGAGUAAAUAAAGAUAAUUAAUUUAGAAUAUUUAAAUAAGGACUUUUUUAGCAUUUAAGGAGUAUGUAAGUAGAAUUCAAUUUUUUAAUUUAAAAUUAAUAGAAGAGUCUACAAAGAAAUAGAAUGUUGAGAAUAAUUUUUAGAAUGCAAAUGGCCUCACCAAAUUAUUAAACAGAUUAAUUACUCAUAGCAGUCUAGCUCUUUAUGCGAAGUAAAUCCUAAUAAAUCAUAAGUUAAAGAAAUAAAAAGGCUAGAUAUUUUAGAUCUACAUUGUGAGAAAUAAAAAAUCAUCUAAUCUGAAAACAAUCACGAGAAAUUACCAACGCUACACUCUAUGUAUGAACUUUCAAAGAAAUCCCAUGACCAAAAGCCCCAAGUUAGAUGAACGGUGCCUGGAGCAAAAUUUGUAAUCUGUAUAACUUUCAGAGCAAGCAAUAAAAAUCAAUAUGGAUUAAAAGAAAUGGCAUGAUGAAACAAGCAGAUAUAUAAAAAUUUCCCAGUAUAGUUGACAUUGGUUUUCUCCCUCUGCUCGUACAUGCCGUCGUUAAGCCAUUCAAUUUUAGUGUUAUAAAUCACGAGAACUCUAACCUUUUUUUUAACCCUUCUUGGAUUUUGAUUAGGAAGGGCCCCC